UUCAUUCUCUUAUAUAGGACGCUGCCAAGGACGCACUUGGCCGGCUGAAGAUGGUUGAGAAUGAGCUGGAAUCUCUGAAAAGGAAACGCACGGGAUGAGAGGAGAGUGAGGGAGUGGAGGCUUGGCUGGAGCACUGUUAUUUCAUCCCUCUCAUUCACACUCGUAUACAAACACUACAGCGAGUACUACAGCACCUUUAGCAUGAUUCUAUGCUUCUCAUGUCCUUGACAACCGCAUGAACCAACCGCAAAAAUUAAUCAUAUAACUUGUAUCACUUGUGGUUAGACGCCCGCAACGGAAAUUAAAAACUAAUCUGUACCUACAAAGGGACACAGAAAUUACAGCAAGCAUUACAACGUGUUAACAGUUAAGGGAAAGGAGGAUUAUUUGCACUUAAAUACUAAAGAAAGCUGCUUGUAAAGCACGGCUUUACAGACAUUACCUGUGCCCUGUUAAUUGUUUCUUUUUUAAAUCAAAUUUUUCUGUAAAUUGUCAAUGAAGAGAUCUUUCAUAGGAUUGUUAGAUUUUGCAGCAGCCCCCAGAGUAUGUUGGUGUCCGCAGAUGACCAAAAGAUAUGUGUGUAUGUGUGUGUGCUCUAACGUGUGUUUAACCAACAAACUGAGGUGUUCUUAACCCCUUUUCCCAUAUUUUAUGUGUGUAAUGAGCUUAAUCUAAUCUGUCUGCUCCAGUGUUCCCAGAUUACAGUAAUCUGCUCCGUUUGGAGUGGUGUGAUAUGGGAAUAAAAAAAUGGGGCUUCGGGGCGCUGCAGCCUACAUCCCAUAAUGAGGGAUUAGUGUUUGUGUCACCAAGGAGACGAAUAGAUCAGACGUAGAGUCGCCUUUAGGGCUGGGGAGAGGGGGGUGUUAGGAACGCACCAUGAAUGUGGUGAAAGCUGCAAAAGCUUCUUCUUCUGCUUUUUUAUCAGCCGUUUCUUCUUCACUGUCUUCACACAAAGUCCUUGGCAUUUAUUCAAAGAUUAUUUAGAGUCGCAAGUAAUAAACCGCUCCACUUGGAUUUUAUUCAAACUGUUAAACAAUAUCAAGCCCAUUAUGCCACCUAUUAGAGAAUAAUUAACAGCUGCUGCGUCAGUGUGUUGCUAUUUUCCACCAUUUUCUUUUUUGGCAUAUGCAGUUUACUAAACAAGAUUUGUCCCACUGAGCUCUAAAGUGGCAGCACAGUGGAUGGUGAAUAGUCUGCAAACAGGAAUACAAUCCAAUAAGUGUCUGUGAGGCUGGGUUAUGGCUCAUUUCUAUUUCUGUUGCCCCAAAGACAUCCCUGUCAUAGGCAUCCUUGUCAUUCCUUUCCACUUUACCCUAAUUGGUACCGUGAAGUCAAGAUUCAGACGAACCCUGUAAGACUUAAUGAGAUGUGUGAUAAUUGCAGACAUCUGGAAAUUAAUAAUUUUGCCACAACAACACCAGAUGUCAAAAUGUCUCUGCCAUGAAUUCCCUGGACAGAUGUUUCCUCCGUGUGUUUGACAACUUGCUAACUGUUGAUCCACGCUGAGUAUGCAGCCAGGAUGUAGCAGACUAUUUAAAUGAGCCUUACUGUAUGUUUUUAUUUGACUCUUCAUAGUGGAUAUAUGUGAACUCCACUAAUAGUUUUUCGGUCAAGUGACAGGAAUCAUGUGUUUACUGUAAUCCACCCACUGCCUCACCCCAUUAGCAAAUAAUCCUGGUCAAAGUUGACCUGAUAGGCCUCCAUAGUCUCUGUUGAUUUGUAUGUAAAACCCCAUCCCCCACGUUUUAUUUUAAUCUAUCAGGAGAGGAUAUCUUCUGAAGCUUUGUAAAUGUUUCGUUAUGCUUUUGAUCAGUUUAUUAGACGGACGGGGCAGUGGGAGGACAGUUGAAUGCCUAAAGUCACAUGAUGGCAUUUAGUUUAAUAUGCACGUGGCUCUUAAAGCACGAUAGCAGUGUGGGUGCAACUUUUAUCAAAAAUACUUUAUGCAGCACAGUUUCAGAGUUGAUGUAUUUUCCCAAGAGUCAGGCAUGUGUUUCCAUUUAUUUUAGUGCAGUACGAAAAUCAUUUAGCGUUAAUGGAAAUGAAUGGCUUUCUGAAACGGAAUAAUUAAAUUGCCAAACAAGUAAGUGUCUCUUACAAUGUUCUAAAACCCAAGGCUUCAAAUGUCUUGUUAUGUCAGAAUGACAACGAAAAACAGAUAUUACAUUUACUUUCACAUAAGACAAAAAAAUUAUAUAUAUUAUCAGCAUAGAGCUUUUUGACUUGACGUAUGACUCAAACGACAACAAAUAUUGGAAUAAUUAACCAUCAAACUGUUUUAGACAGCAAAAGUAUUUAACACUUCUUAAACACAGCAACAUGUUUUUUUCUCCUAUUAUGAGCUGUGAUGUGAUUUCUGUGGCUUGUAGUAAAUGGGCUAACAACCAGCAGUUUGGUCCUGCAACAGAACUUUUCUUUGGCAAUCAACAUAGUCAAGUAAAGCUAAAUGUGACACGUAUCUCUGAUAUAAAGCCCAGUUUGUAACUCUUUCCAUGUUUUAACGCCUUGACAGAAACUGGAGCUGAGUAGCAGCCCUUUCUUUCACUCUAAAACCUUUAACCCCAUGUCACCUCAAACACACACACACACACCUGCAACAUCACCCCACCCCACUCCAGUAACCUCAUGGCCUCUGAGGCUGGGCCUGUUGUCAGGGCAACAUGCACAUCAGCAUUCAGUGUGGUUGUUGGAUGUUCAGGACCCUUGCAGAGGGACAUAUUGUUAAAGUUUGUCCUGCUGGUGACUCACACUCAUACCCCACACACUCCUUAUUUGUUGUGUUUGUUUGUUUGCUUUCUUCUCUGUUUGAUCCUACUCUGUAAUGCGGAUGCACUCCCGUUAAAAAAAAGAAGAACGUUUGGUGUCAUUUUCUGUUAAUAUUUCUGUCCUGAUUUGCUGCAGUAAAUGUAAUUAUCUGAGCUUGGGAAAAAUAUAUUCUUGAACUUAUUACCUUUUUUUUAUCUGUUAAAUCAUGUAAGGGCAAUCAAUAUAAAUGUAAUAUUUGUAUACAGUAAAUAUACAGCAUAUGUAUGUAUCUGUCUCUAUUUUUACUUGUAAGUCUAGAUAGAAGAUGUGUGCAGAUUAAACAGGGGAAUGUAUGAAAGCCUGAUUAUUAAGGUUUUAUUAUCUUCUGAAUGAGGUUGGUGUUAACAUGAAUAAAAUGGUGAUACAG
Molecule: long non-coding RNA, 3172 nt
Organism: Notothenia coriiceps (black rockcod)
Lineage: Eukaryota; Metazoa; Chordata; Actinopteri; Perciformes; Nototheniidae
Exons: 2
Source: RefSeq, a predicted model, not a curated record